This 1160-nucleotide long non-coding RNA is filed under the name Panax ginseng (ginseng). RNAcentral's name for it is "long non-coding RNA (PGIN_LNC006807)". Lineage: Eukaryota; Viridiplantae; Streptophyta; Magnoliopsida; Apiales; Araliaceae. The record is from RNAcentral.
UGGAUAAAAAUCUGAUUUGUACAUCAUAAGGCACCACCAACCAUGAGCUGAUCUAGAUGGUAUCAUCCCUUCAACAAAAAAAGAGAUGAUAUCACUUUAACUUUGCACCACAAUGAUCAGGAGAUCAAAUUUCAGCAAUACUGCAAACAAUAUAAGCAGAGCAGAGUUCCAAAGUGCACUUAAUUCAAAAUGAUAGUACCUCACCAAACAGAGCAGCAGCUUAACAAAAGUUCACAUAGCAGAAGCUGAACAAAAACAACUAAAGCAAAUAUUGACAGAAAAAAAGAUCAGAAGAAGAAGACAAAACAUCUUAACACAGAGUAAACAAAUAUUGACAGAAAUAACAACGUAUCAUAAAUGAUUCUUAUCAUAAGGAAAACUCCACCAAAACAGAAGCAAUAACUAUAUAACAUAGCAGCAUAUUAACCACUGACAUCAAUGCUAAUGAAGUGCUCAAUACAUAAGGUUCCACCUUUGACAUUACCAAUUUAUGUUGUAAAUACAAAACUUAAUCAAAUACCAAAAAGACAUUUUUAGCAUAAAACCAUCAAACAGAAACAUCAAAGCAGUCUUUUAUCAUUACAAGUUCAAAUGGUAAUAAUUCAGUCACACAAAUACAUUUAAGGUGAUAUCCCAAAAACAAAAUUCACUAAAAUUACAUCGGAGAAUGGAAAGGAAAAACCAAAACAGAAAAUAAAAGGAGUACAAUUAUAUACUUGUUAGUUAUCUUUGAGUCAAAUUAUCAAACAUUUAGAAGACAAAAAUGGAGGAUACUCUAGCAAAGCAAACAAAAACCCAAGCAAUUAAUGAAAUUAAACAUGGAAUUGAAAGAGUAGAGCAUACAUACAUAUACACAUGGAAUGAAAAUGAUAAAUCGAUAUUCAAACAGUCCAUUCUGAGAAUUUAAAGCUAGAUUCAAGUGCUAAUUAUGGUAUGUAGAUCAAUUAGGUAUGAGAACGAGAUUGGUGGAGAUAUUGAACGAGAAUGAUGAAGAGAACCAGAUUGAUAAUACCUUUAUUCUCCUUCAGCGAUUUGCUCGAUCAAUUGGAUAUGAGAACGAGAUUGGUGAUAACUUGCUUCUUCGAUCGGUGGGAGAAAGGUAGGGAUAAAAGGUACCAUGGUGUUUAAAGAAUUCUAUAUAAAAUAAAAUUAUUACCGAU